Molecule: ribosomal RNA, 474 nt
Filed under: uncultured bacterium
Lineage: Bacteria
Description: bacterial SSU rRNA
Rfam family: Bacterial small subunit ribosomal RNA
Source: RNAcentral
GAUUAGAGUUUGAUCAUGGCUCAGAUUGAACGCUGGCGGAAUGCUUUACACAUGCAAGUCGAGCGGCAGCGCGGGGGCAACCCUGGCGGCGAGCGGCGAACGGGUGAGUAACAUAUCGGAACGUACCCAGUCGUGGGGGAUAACUAUCCGAAAGGAUAGCUAAUACCGCAUACGACCUGAGGGUGAAAGCGGGGGACCGUAAGGCCUCGCGCGAUUGGAGCGGCCGAUAUCGGAUUAGCUAGUUGGUGAGGUAAAGGCUCACCAAGGCGACGAUCCGUAGCUGGUCUGAGAGGACGACCAGCCACACUGGAACUGAGACACGGUCCAGACUCCUACGGGAGGCAGCAGUGGGGAAUUUUGGACAAUGGGGGCAACCCUGAUCCAGCCAUUCCGCGUGAGUGAAGAAGGCCUUCGGGUUGUAAAGCUCUUUCAGCAGGAACGAAACGGUGGUCCCUAAUACGGGCUACUAAUGAC